Molecule: ribosomal RNA, 429 nt
Filed under: Gemmatimonadota bacterium
Lineage: Bacteria; Pseudomonadati; Gemmatimonadota
Description: Gemmatimonadetes bacterium partial 16S ribosomal RNA
Rfam family: Bacterial small subunit ribosomal RNA
Source: RNAcentral
UAGGGAAUCUUCGGCAAUGGACGAAAGUCUGACCGAGCAACGCCGCGUGAGCGAAGAAGGUUUUCGGAUCGUAAAACUCUGUUGUUAGAGAAGAACAAGGACGUUAGUAACUGAACGUCCCCUGACGGUAUCUAACCAGAAAGCCACGGCUAACUACGUGCCAGCCGCCGCGGUCAUACGUAGGUGGCAAGCGUUGUCCGGAUUUAUUGGGCGUAAAGCGAGCGCAGGCGGUUUCUUAAGUCUGAUGUGAAAGCCCCCGGCUCAACCGGGGAGGGUCAUUGGAAACUGGGAGACUUGAGUGCAGAAGAGGAGAGUGGAAUUCCAGGUGUAGCGGUGAGAUGCGUAGAUAGAUGGAGGAACAACAGUGGCGAAGGCGGCGCUCUGGUCUGUAACUGACGCUGAGGAUCGAAAGCGUGGGGAGCAAACAGG